Molecule: non-coding RNA, 110 nt
Filed under: Heyndrickxia shackletonii
Lineage: Bacteria; Bacillati; Bacillota; Bacilli; Caryophanales; Bacillaceae
Description: Bacillus shackletonii TPP sequence
Rfam family: TPP riboswitch aptamer (THI element)
About the family: Vitamin B(1) in its active form thiamin pyrophosphate (TPP) is an essential coenzyme that is synthesised by coupling of pyrimidine and thiazole moieties in bacteria. The previously detected thiamin-regulatory element, thi box was extended, resulting in a new, highly conserved RNA secondary structure, the THI element, which is widely distributed in eubacteria and also occurs in some archaea. Analysis of operon structures identified a large number of new candidate thiamin-regulated genes, mostly transporters, in various prokaryotic organisms.
Source: Rfam by way of RNAcentral
AAAGACUACUAGGGGUGCCCUAAUUUGGGCUGAGAGAAAAACAGGAUGUUUUUUAACCCUUUGGACCUGAUCUGGUUAAUACCAGCGGAGGAAAGUAGUGGAGUGAAAAA